AAGUCUGGACCUUUCAGGAGAGCACUGUAACUGACGCAGCUCUCAGAGAGUAGACUGACUUGCCAGUGCUUCUGGGUCAGAGGCCAGCGACAAGUCUGUAUGUGGACGCCGGUGUCUGCAGUAAAACUUUUGAUGCCCGUGGUUGUUUAUUCAAACAUGUAGAAGCCGUUAAAACUGUCAAUUCAAAAGCAUAAAAAACGUUGAUGUCUUUUAAUUUUUUUUUUCUCUGUAUGUGACACAAAUUAGGAGGGUUUAAAUUCUGCAGCAUUCGUUGUUUUUGAUCUGUUUCGGGCAGCAGUUUUCAUGAAAAAUGGCUUCAGCUCAAUACGCCCCUCAGGUGCCCCUCCAUCCCAACCUUUAACCCCACCCCCGAUGUGCAGUGUUCUGAACAGGGCAGAUCUGACAUGUUCAGUCAAGCAUCCUAUCCCACAAGGCACUGCUCUCUCUUUUUUUUCUUUUUUUUUUGCUGUGCGCUAAUUAGCGAUAGCUGAAAAUCAGAUUAAUUCAAAGGUCAUUCAGUUUGCCUUCAGAAGAACAGGUUUUCAGUAAAAACUCUGGAUGGCUGACGGAUGUUUGUUUGAAGAGACAUGUAGAUCUCUGCACACCUAUAAGGAAAGACACUUGGCAUCAAACCUCACAGGGGGAAAUUCAUGCUUCUUUUCUGCAAAGGAUUGGUUGAUGAAAUAUUUAUACUGUGGCUAGCAGUUUGAUGUUCCCAGCUGACAAGAGGUACCAGUGGGAGUUGUUUUUCUGUGAAUAAUAGAAAGUGGUAACAUCUCCUCUAGCCUCCUCCUACUGAUAUAAUGAUCAUGUACAAUAAAUGAUUUUGUUAUAUUUUUAACCCCAGGCAAUUGGCAAAAAAAAAAAAACUAUAGGACCAAAAUUUACAUAUACUGAAAUUGUACUGAAGUGUCUUUUCUGGACACAAUGUAUAUAUUGUUGUACUUUUAUUUUUACACUGUUUUCAUUUUAGACUGUAAUACUGGCUGUUGUAUGCUAUAUUAUUAAUGUCCUUGUUUCUGCUGUCAUGUAUUUAAUGCUUUGUGCAUCGUAGAUUUAAAAAGCAAACAUUGUCUAGCCAAAUUAACUUAUAAAUUAAUAACGUUGAAUGGAUAAUGACGUUAUUUAAAUAUUCAAAUGUUGUUAUUGUCAAUUAAAGUAGGAGGACUCAGAAUACAGCAUUGUACGGUGGUGAAUGGAUAAAUUGCGUCGACACACAGGAUUCAGCAGGAUGCGAAGAGGGAAAGAGGGAGAAAUGCACAGCAAAUGGUGCAUUAAAUGCGCCAUGAGGCAGCAGGUGGGUGCUGACGAAGCCUCUUCCUUCGGGGCUGUCCAUGACGCAGCGUCUUUCCUCCCGCGCGUACGAAAACGCGCCACGGCUCGGCCUGCCCCGCAGCAGGAGGGGGGAGCGCGUGUGUCCCUGCGCUGUGCUGCGCUGCGCCGCGGCGCGAGCAUCGUUACCAUGCGCCGCACGUCUUGGUCCCGGACGCUCUCUGUCCCGCGGGCCAGGCUGCAAAAUGGCAGGCGGUGGCUGUGAAUUUAGAGACGACGGAGUCACGGCACCGGUGGAUCGUUGUGAGUGAGCGUGCCAAUGUACAAUAAAGGCGAUACGACAGCACUCCCCUAGAGCCGGACAUAGGUGGUGAUUAUUUCCCUGUACUUGACACCAGCGGUGUAUACUUCUCGCGCAGUUGACGUAUGCAGAAUGCGGGUGCAUGACUGACCAAAGUAACUGCUGUUGAGAUGUUGAGACAGACCCAGGAAAAUCAACCCCUUCCUCCCCAAGUUACACGACGGCUAACUGUAAG
Anguilla rostrata (American eel) is the source of this 1808-nucleotide long non-coding RNA. RefSeq lists it as uncharacterized. NCBI's taxonomy places the organism in Eukaryota, Metazoa, Chordata, Actinopteri, Anguilliformes, Anguillidae. The transcript has 2 exons. The record is from RefSeq and is a predicted model, not a curated record.